UUUGGAAACUUCCAGAUAAAAAUUCCAGUCAACCAACAAGGUUUCUGUGGAGGUCCUCUUCUCAGACAGUGGCCCCAAACUCAGCCAAACCAUCAGGCCAUUAGGACCAGAAAGACCAUGAGGACCAAGCCUAGAAGAUCUGGCAUUGUCAGGGCAGUCACUAAAGAAGAAUAAACAAGCCCCUGUCCUGUCUAGGCCCUGCCCUUGCACCCUCUGCAACCAACCACUUCUCGGAGGAAAACCAUACUGGGUCCUAAAACAUAGCAGGACAAUUUGAAAAGCAACGAGAGGGAUGGCGGAUUAGGCCAGGUGGAAAGGGGGAUGUUUCUGGUGGGAAGUUGGGGUUGACCUCCCUUUGCCAUACUCAGGUGCUCAUUCCACCUGGAGAAUUCCCUUAGCUGCCUGUCCACCUACUCGUGCCCAAACUGGGCCACUCAAAGGUCAGCUUCUCUGGUGUCCCUACUCCAGCUCUCCCAAGCAGUACUAGCCCCCUGAGCCAAACACAGUGCACAUAACUCUAGUCUGAGGCACUUGUUGUGUUGUCCUGUGAUGGUGUCUUAGCACACCCGUCUCUGGUACUACAUGCUGAGCUCCCAUCUCACCUCUGCAUGCCCAGGGCAUGGCACCCAGCUGUGUUCAUUCAGUGUCUACUGAGUGAACAGUCACACUGGUUCUUUUGCUACCAUCAGACCUGGUGGCCAGAAAGGAAAUGAGCAAUAAAAUAUUUUCAUAUUUACAUUACAACCUUUGAGGGUAAAAGAUCCCUCGAGAGGUCUUCACUGUAUUCUCCUCAUGGAGCAAAACUGAUGAAAUGCCCUGGUUCUUCAGUAGAAGUGUGCCCAAACCUAUCUUGUCUACCCUCAGCUAGUUUCACCUGUCCUUUUUGUAAAACCUAUUUAAUGCUUGU
Molecule: long non-coding RNA, 907 nt
Filed under: Marmota monax (woodchuck)
Lineage: Eukaryota; Metazoa; Chordata; Mammalia; Rodentia; Sciuridae
Source: RNAcentral